This 330-nucleotide ribosomal RNA is filed under the name Salmonella enterica. RNAcentral describes it as "partial 23S ribosomal RNA". It matches the Rfam family "Bacterial large subunit ribosomal RNA", at positions 1260 to 1590 of the family's 2925-position model. Lineage: Bacteria; Pseudomonadati; Pseudomonadota; Gammaproteobacteria; Enterobacterales; Enterobacteriaceae. The record is from RNAcentral. RNAcentral also lists the same sequence under 2 other names.
CCUGUGAGGGUUGCUGGAGGUAUCAGAAGUGCGAAUGCUGACAUAAGUAACGAUAAUGCGGGUGAAAAACCCGCACGCCGGAAGACCAAGGGUUCCUGUCCAACGUUAAUCGGGGCAGGGUGAGUCGACCCCUAAGGCGAGGCCGAAAGGCGUAGUCGAUGGGAAACAGGUUAAUAUUCCUGUACUUGGUGUUACUGCGAAGGGGGGACGGAGAAGGCUAUGUUAGCCGGGCGACGGUUGUCCCGGUUUAAGCAUGUAGGCGGAGGUUCCAGGUAAAUCCGGUACCUUAUUAACGCUGAGGUGUGAUGACGAGGCACUACGGUGCUGAAG